UACGGAGGGUGCAAGCGUUUUUCGGAAUCAUUGGGCGUAAAGCGCGUGUAGGCGGCUUGGUAAGUCGGGUGUGAAAGCCCGGGGCUUAACCCCGGAACUGCAUUCGAAACUGCCUCGCUAGAGUCCCGGAGGGGAAGGCGGAAUUCCCGGUGUAGAGGUGAAAUUCGUAGAUAUCGGGAGGAACACCCGUAGCGAAGGCGGCCUUCUGGACGGUGACUGACGCUGAGACGCGAAAGCGUGGGGAGCAAACAGG
This 253-nucleotide ribosomal RNA is filed under the name uncultured bacterium. RNAcentral describes it as "partial 16S ribosomal RNA". It matches the Rfam family "Bacterial small subunit ribosomal RNA", at positions 524 to 776 of the family's 1533-position model. The record is from RNAcentral.